UAUUUCUCUAAAUCCUUCCCCAGCCGCAAAACUGCCAAAAAUGCAGAGUCAUCUUCAUGCAAUUGCACACACACUUUUACUUGUUCCGUUACAAUGUGAAGGCCUCAUAAGAAUUUCACAUCUGUUAUCUAUUUACCUUUAAUUUCUUAAGUUUUAAAUCUGGCGUCUAACUAUCAAAAAAUCAUAUGGCAAACGCAAUUAUCAGUCCUAAAAAAAUUGGUACUAGUAACUUUGUAAAAUCCGUGUUUUGUAGAACGAUUUUACAAACUUGUACAAAUUAUACUGAUUUUGAUUCAAGUGUUUUUUAAUUUACGUACUGUUGAAGGUAAAUUAAAAAAGUGUCCAAACAUGAUGAAUUCUUACUUGAUACAAAAAUAUGUGUACCAAAUUGUAAUUUAUAAAUUCGAGUGAUUUGUGAGAGGAGUAGUUGGCAAAGGUUUGACGUUUUUUUUUGCAUUUCGAUAUUUUAUUGGUCGCAAGCAAUAAAAAGGUGAAAACGCUAAUUACUAUGAUCAUUAAGUACUGAUCAGCAGUUUUUAUCAUGUUUUGCAUUAUGUUUUAAAUCGUUGCAUUUAUUUUGUUACUUGAUUUUUCGCUAAUGUGCAGAUUUUACUAUUUUUUAAGGGUGGAUUUUUUUAUCCUGAAUAUUUUUUUUAAAUCAAUUUUUAUCCGAAAUUUUAUACUAAAUCUAUGAAAAUUUAUGGCUAUUAAGAUAUUUACCUCGUGUGUAUAUAUGAAUAGAUAAUAAUUUAUACUUCUAAUCGCAUUUAGUUAAAACAAUUUGGCAAGAAUUUCCUGUACAAAAUCAUUUCGAGAUUUUUGUUACAAGAAUAUACUUGCAUAUUUAAUUUAGAAAUCUGAAUUAUAAUUGGAGGUUGAUAUAUUCUGAAGAAAAUAAAGUCCAGUGUGAAUAAUAGGCAAGCCUCAUGUUUACUCUAAUUUACUAUUUUUGACAUUACUUUCUUCCAGUAAAAGUUCCGUAUUUUGCUAAAUGGACAUAAUGAAAAUUGUAUAAAUAGUGAGGGUAUUUAUUACACUCUUAAAAAAAUCAAUAACCGUUGGUAUUGAUACGUGACUCUACCGCGUGGUAUUCAUCCGGUAUUGAAUUAAUACUACGUGGUAAAAAAUUUAAUACCAAUUAGUAUUAAAAUUAUUACCGUGAGGUAUAAUUUCAAUACCGGUUCUAUACCAAUACGGUAUAACCGUUUAAUACCAAGGCAGUAGAGUCACGUAUCAAUACCGUUACGUUUUUUUUCAAUACCAAGUUUCUAAGAGUGUACGAGUUCGCAACGUUAGCAAAAAAAGUCACAAGUUAGUAAAUUUGCAGACCUACACACCUCCAAGGAUAGUACACAAGUGUGAAAUAUUUGUAGUUCUCAAAAAUUUUCCCAAAAUUAUGCGAAUUUUCGAUCCAAAAAUGCAAACUCGUAAUGAAUACCCCCAUUAUAUUUCAAUUUAGUUCACACUUUGUAUCCUGUAAGAGAAAUAAAUUAAACAUCCUUUGUUUAUAAAGUUGAAUAAGUAUCGUCGUUGUGAAUGGACUCAUUAUGAGCUAAAUUAAAAAGGUACAUCAUUGUGCUAUCUUAAACUCACUACAUAGCUGAGCAAAUUAUUGCACCAAUUUCAGCUAGCAUAACACACAAUGUACCUUCAAUGGUGUAAAAAGUUCGAAUGAAAAAAAAACA
This is a long non-coding RNA of Folsomia candida, 1685 nucleotides long. RefSeq lists it as uncharacterized. The record is from RefSeq and is a predicted model, not a curated record. Lineage: Eukaryota; Metazoa; Arthropoda; Collembola; Entomobryomorpha; Isotomidae. The transcript has 3 exons.